RNAcentral lists this ribosomal RNA (478 nucleotides) under uncultured bacterium. RNAcentral describes it as "partial 16S ribosomal RNA". It matches the Rfam family "Bacterial small subunit ribosomal RNA", at positions 28 to 507 of the family's 1533-position model. The record is from RNAcentral.
GACGAACGCUGGCGGCGUGCUUAACACAUGCAAGUCGAACGGGAUUUAGUAGACAGAAGCCUCGGCUAGAGAUUACUAAUGAGAGUGGCGAACGGGGGAGUAACGCGUGAGCAACCUGCCUAUGACAGUGGGAUAGCCUCGGGAAACCGGGAUUAAUACCGCAUAAAAUCGUAGAAACACAUGUUUCAACGGUCAAAGAUUUAUCGGUCAUAGAUGGGCUCGCGUCUGAUUAGCUAGUUGGUGAGAUAACAGCCCACCAAGGCGACGAUCAGUAGCCGGUCUGGGAGGAUGAACGGCCACAUUGGAACUGAGACACGGUCCACACUCCUACGGGAGGCAGCAGUGGGGAAUAUUGCACAAUGGGGGAAACCCUGAUGCAGCGACGCCGCGUGAACGAAGAAGGUAUUCGUAUCGUAAAGUUCUGUCCUAUGGGAAGAUAAUGACAGUACCAUAGAAGAAAGCUCCGGCUAAAUACGUG